Long non-coding RNA from Jaculus jaculus (lesser Egyptian jerboa), 637 nucleotides. RefSeq lists it as uncharacterized. NCBI's taxonomy places the organism in Eukaryota, Metazoa, Chordata, Mammalia, Rodentia, Dipodidae. The transcript has 2 exons. The record is from RefSeq and is a predicted model, not a curated record.
CUCCUCGCGCAGGCGGCGGAGCUGCCGUCCACUCGCUGGCGGCCCUUGUGGCCUCAGCUCUUGGCUGGGCCUGAAAAGGAAACCUUCUCCGGAGGUGUGUCUGCAUGAACCUCGCGGUCGGAAGGAGGGUGCCUUGAACUCACGGCGAUCCUCGUACCUACGCCUCCCGAGUGCUGGGAUUACGUCUGAAUUUGCACUUUUUAUUCCCCAGCCUUUCAGUUCGAAGCUGUCCAGCCGUCGGAAAGCUGAGCAGCAGACCCUUUGCCCAGAGUCACCGGGUGCUAACAUUUUGCAACAUUUGUGUUUUUUCAUUGUAUAUUCCUCCCGCCACUGAGCUGUUGCAAAGUUGCUGUCUGUCACCUACAAGAACUUGUAUACGGGGCUGGGGAGAGUCUGUAAUCCUAGCAGUGUGGUGAUGGAGAAACAAUUCCUGGGGCAACUGACUAGUUAAAGCUUAGCCAAAUGGGUGAGCUCCAGGUUCAGCGAGAAGCCCUGUCUCAUAAAAAUAAGAUGGAAGCACUUUGGAAGCAUACAUAGAAGAAUCACCGUGAGUUCGAGGCUACCCUGAGAUCGACUACAUAGUAAAUGCCAGGUCAGCCUGGGCUAAAGCGAAACCCUACCUUGAUAUAUAUAUAUA